This 843-nucleotide long non-coding RNA is filed under the name Panax ginseng (ginseng). Its description in RNAcentral is "long non-coding RNA (PGIN_LNC010323)". The record is from RNAcentral. Lineage: Eukaryota; Viridiplantae; Streptophyta; Magnoliopsida; Apiales; Araliaceae.
CCCAUCAAAUACUAGCUAAACUCUACUCAGAUAAUGCAAAAAAAAUAUAUAAAAUUAAACCCUUUAGGCAAAUGACUCCAGCGGCAAAGUUUUUGUUGAUUCCAUGAUGUGAGGCAGAAACCCUUUGUAGAUUCAUGUAAGUUUUUGAUCUUUAUCAUUGAUUAUUUCAAAUUAAAUCAUCUUUACCGAAGCUUUGAUUUGAAGUGGAGAUUCUUUUUCUGCACAAAAGGAGUACAAGAUAGCUGUCCUCAGAAUUGCAAGAAGUUAAAAAAGAAUACAAAAACUUACGCUACAUAAUAAGUUGCUACUAUAUUUUCCAAAGCAAGUCACUUUUCGAUUCGUUUUAUGACUUUAAGCAGGGAUGUCACCAUCAAUGGCACAUAAAGUAAACAGGGGUGUCACCAUCCAUGGCAAAUAAAAUCCUAUCAUUAAUCUGGAUUAACACAACUUGGCUUUUAUAUAUCAAGAUAUAGUAAUAUAUAUUAUGAACUGAAAGGUGCAGAUUUGUGAGAACCGGAAGAUUAGGACUUUUGUUUUGUAAUUACUAAUUAACAAGCAAGAGAUUAGUCAGUGGUGGCUCCCACUAAACCUAAUCAACAAGGCGACUUGCAGCCUCCGGCAAUUAAUUAUGAUGAUAAUCAUUUUUGCUGUUUUCUGAACAUUCCCCAUUGUUUAUUAGCCAACAUUCUUUCUUCAUCCCUAAACCUGAUUGCUUUUACUUUGUCUAAUGGAUUUUCACAUUGAGAACCCCAGCAAUAAAAGAAAUUGCAAGCUAAAAGAGCAUCAGCCAAGAACUGAGAUGGAUAGUUUACCUCGUGAAAUCGCCCUCGACAUACUUUCAAG